RNAcentral lists this ribosomal RNA (865 nucleotides) under uncultured bacterium. RNAcentral describes it as "bacterial SSU rRNA". It matches the Rfam family "Bacterial small subunit ribosomal RNA", at positions 8 to 853 of the family's 1533-position model. The record is from RNAcentral.
AGAGUUUGAUCAUGGCUCAGGACGAACGCUGGCGGCGUGCCAUUAUACAUGCAAGUAGAACGCUGAAGAGAGGAGCUUGCUCUUCUUGGACUGAGUUGCGAACGGGUGAGUAACGCGUAGGUAACCUGCCUUGUAGCGGGGGAUAACUAUUGGAAACGAUAGCUAAUACCGCAUAACAAUGGAUGACACAUGUCAUUUAUUUGAAAGGGGCAAUUGCUCCACUACAAGAUGGACCUGCGUUGUAUUAGCUAGUAGGCGAGGUAAUGGCUCACCUAGGCGACGAUACAUAGCCGACCUGAGAGGGUGAUCGGCCACACUGGGACUGAGACACGGCCCAGACUCCUACGGGAGGCAGCAGUAGGGAAUCUUCGGCAAUGGGGGCAACCCUGACCGAGCAACGCCGCGCGAGUGAAGAAGGUUUUCGGAUCGUAAAGCUCUGUUGUAAGUCAAGAACGGGUGUGAGAGUGGAAAGUUCACACUGUGACGGUAGCUUACCAGAAAGGGACGGCUAACUACGUGCCAGCAGCCGCGGUAAUACGUAGAUCCCGAGCGUUGUCCGGAUUUAUUGGGCGUAAAGCGAGCGCAGGCGGUUUGAUAAGUCUGAAGUUAAAGGCUGUGGCUCAACCAUAGUUCGCUUUGGAAACUGUCAAACUUGAGUGCAGAAGGGGAGAGUGGAAUUCCAUGUGUAGCGGUGAAAUGCGUAGAUAUAUGGAGGAACACCGGUGGCGAAAGCGGCUCCCUGGUCUGUAACUGACGCUGAGGCUCGAAAGCGUGGGGAGCGAACAGGAUUAGAUACCCUGGUAGUCCACGCCGUAAACGAUGAGUGCUAGGUGUUGGAUCCUUUCCGGGAUUCAGUGCCGCAGCU